RNAcentral lists this ribosomal RNA (607 nucleotides) under Phyllosticta capitalensis. Its description in RNAcentral is "eukaryotic LSU rRNA". The stretch from base 248 to 401 matches the Rfam family "5.8S ribosomal RNA". The record is from RNAcentral. Lineage: Eukaryota; Fungi; Ascomycota; Dothideomycetes; Botryosphaeriales; Phyllostictaceae.
CGGGACCACUCUGACGUGAGUUGGAGGAGACUCAUAUGAAGUAGAGCUGAGUAUCAUCUACCGGAGGAAAAUGACCUUCUCACCCUUGUCAUAUCACUAUGUUGCUGUUAACGGGUGGAGGUGGUUCCGACCCAGGCGGCCGGCGCCCCCAGCCUUAACUGGCCAGGACGCCCGGCUAAGUGCCCGCCAGUAUACAAAACUCAAGAAUUCAUGUUGUGAAGUCCUGAUAUAUCAUUUAAUUGAUUAAAACUUUCAACAACGGAUCUCUUGGUUCUGGCAUCGAUNAAGAACGCUGCGAAAUGCGAUAAGUAAUGUGAAUUGCACAAUUCAGUGAAUCAUCGAAUCUUUGAACGCACAUUGCGCCCUCUGGUAUUCCGGAGGGCAUGCCUGUUCGAGCGUCAUUUCAACCCUCAAGCUCUGCUUGGUAUUGGGCAACGUCCGCUGCCGGACGUGCCUUGAAGACCUCGGCGACGGCGUCCUAGCCUCGAGCGUAGUANNUAAAUAUCUCGCUUUGGAGUGCUGGGCGACGGCCGCCGGACAAUCGACCUUCGGUCUAUUUUUCCANGGUUGACCUCGGAUCAGGUAGGGAUACCCGCUGAACUUAAGC